Molecule: long non-coding RNA, 1556 nt
Organism: Anopheles gambiae (African malaria mosquito)
Lineage: Eukaryota; Metazoa; Arthropoda; Insecta; Diptera; Culicidae
Exons: 2
Source: RefSeq, a predicted model, not a curated record
UCCAUUUCAAACAAUUAUUUUAACACGGCCUCAAAUUAAACAGGUUUCACACCUUCAUCAAAGCAAUGCGGAUCCCGAAGAGCACUGGAGGCGGGACACAAUUUACCGCGCAGCAGGCAGCUAUACCGAAUUAUACCGAUGUCUCGUGUGGUGCAGUCACUUACGCGAUUUUAAUGCUCUGUUAGGGCUGGAAUGUUAACAGUGUUCGCUGGGGCCAGGUGAUUGGUUGUACGAUCGGUUGUUCAACACACAUCGUGAUCAAACGAUACCCUAAGUGUUGCAUGCUACCGGCAAUGGACCUAUUCUUUGGAAUUCCAUCUAAUGUGGGCAAUCAGCGAUGAUCGGAGCAACGGUGUGUCGCAAUCAUGACACACUGCUUACGACCUUUAGGGUCGCUGAGUGGACCCUUUUGGCCCCUGGCCAAUGUUUAGCAUGGUUGUAGAAGUACCUCAAUUAAGAAGUCGAACGUGAUUUGAAUAAGCAGACUCGAAGCGAUAAGAGUGAAACGCUAGGCACACACAGGGCGUACAUUAAGCCGAGGUGUCAGUAAAUUAUUUAAUUAGCGCUAUUGGGUGAACUAAAUGAGACACCUAAAUUAGCCUGUUUUUCAAAUUCAGUUUUCUGUUUCUAUUUGUGUAGAAAUCAAGCAGUAAUAUCGGAACAAACAAAGCACAUUAGUGGAAGCAAAUGCUCGUAGAGUUUAGGUGAUGGCAAACUGAACUUGAAAAUAACGUGUUUUCUUCGAGAUGCUAUUUAUUUAACGCAAAAUCUUAUUGAUACAGUAUACAUCAACAAAAAGCACAAAAAAGUAAAUCUAUAAAUAUUCCUCGUCGUUUACAACACGCAUCGUGACCUAGUGUGACAUAGGCGGUACACUGUGCGACACAUCAGUACCGAUUUGCAAAUAAAUGAUUUAUAGCGCAAUACACUCUUCGGCUACGUGGCGCAGAAUAGAAUGAGUGCGUACAUGUACGGGCCAUGCGUGUCGUUACGUUUGCAUUCUGGCCCAAGUCGAAGUGUAGGCGUAUCGAAUUUCUCUUUCCCGCGGCCAAACUUUAAAGAUUGACCGCCAUCGUCGUUGGCGACAGACAGGCCUCGGGGCUGGACCGAUGGUCGUAAAUUUUGUGCAAAAAUUGCUUUCAAAGUGUGAUUUAAAAUUCCACCAGUUUGGCCCGUUCACGCAUGAGGGAUGUUGGGUUUUUAUUGCAUUUGAACGGCCAUGGAUGGUAGUGGCACACGUAUCUGGGCGGCAUGGUUGACUUCAGCACAGAGGUUAAACAGAUUUAAGAGAGGUUUAUUAUGGUUAACAUUCUCGGAUGUCCUCGUACUAUAUGUUUGCGGAAUGUGUAUUCAGGCCAUGCCAGUAAGGAAUAUGUACGUAAGUGUGACAGUUUUCAAAUAGCUAGAAGUAGAUUGUCAACUUUUCAGAUUGUACCCAUGGGAACUUAUGGAGCAUUAUAAAAAAGUUUUAUUUUUAGUUUUGUAGGUGUAAGUGUAAUUAAGAAAAAGUCAAAGUAAUAUUAUCUAGUAAAACCUAUUUUUAUUAGCUUAACCCA